UCCCUAAGUUAUAGGGCAUUUCGCAGUCGCACAUGCUCAAUGAAAAUCAAGCAAACGAGAAUUGAGACAAAAAGUGAGCGACACACACGAAUGAAGACGGCAGAGGGAAGUUAUUUGGGCCAUGGCUAAGGGGGCUCGUUGGGAGGCGCCACAUGUUGAAAGACAGCCAGUCCUGCCACAUGGCAGCCGCUGCUCAUUAUGCGGAU
Long non-coding RNA from Drosophila navojoa, 206 nucleotides. The record is from RefSeq and is a predicted model, not a curated record. NCBI's taxonomy places the organism in Eukaryota, Metazoa, Arthropoda, Insecta, Diptera, Drosophilidae.